GCCUACGGGGCGCAGCAGUGAGGAAUAUUGGUCAAUGGGCGAGAGCCUGAACCAGCCAAGUCGCGUGAGGGAGUACUGCCCUAUGGGUUGUAAACCUCUUUUGUCGGGGAGCAAAAGCCGGACGUGUUCGUCUGUGAGAGUACCCGAAGAAAAAGCAUCGGCUAACUCCGUGCCAGCAGCCGCGGUAAUACGGAGGAUCCGAGCGUUAUCCGGAUUUAUUGGGUUUAAAGGGAGCGUAGGUGGAUUGUUAAGUCAGUUGUGAAAGUUUGCGGCGCAACCGUAAAAUUGCAGUUGAAACUGGCAGG
RNAcentral lists this ribosomal RNA (305 nucleotides) under uncultured bacterium. RNAcentral describes it as "bacterial SSU rRNA". It matches the Rfam family "Bacterial small subunit ribosomal RNA", at positions 337 to 640 of the family's 1533-position model. The record is from RNAcentral.